CCCACAGAGCAGAUGGCCCAUCUGGCCGGGUCCCUCCACAGGCAUCCUGGGGGAGGCCUUCCAGAGGGGUCCAUGCACCAGCCUCACCUGCUACCCGCCUGCCCGGCCCGGGGCCCAGCCCCACUCCCUCCUCCCGGGGCCUCCGGCGAGAUCUCAGCUCAAGGAAACCUUUUCUCAGUUAUCCCGUUAGGGAUGUGGCUUCCGUGUACGGUCUGGCAGCGGCCAGAAUGGGACCCCUGAGUCUCCCCUGCCGCAGGCUGCAAGGCCAGGAAGAAAUGCAGGCUGCUUCCCAGACCUUCUCGGGAUUGGUUUCCUGGCACCUUUAGGAAUGGUCUCCAGAAUGAAUAGCAUCAACUCAGGAAUCCAGAAGACGGAGGCGGGCAGGAAAAAAGAAAAAGCCCAGGAGAUCUAGGUGUUAGACUUUAUCUCCUUCUGGGGCCGGGAACCCUUCGUCACAGAUGACCUCAAAGAUUUCUCUAGACCUUCCAGAUGGAGCUAACAGACUUUAUGAGCCAGACACGCGCCUAUCAAAUAAUCAGUCUGUAACAGUUCGAUCAAGGUGGACUGAAAUGGUUUGCGGGACCAAAGUUUAAAGGAAGAAAUUCUGAACAGAGCCCAGGGGCAGAGAAAAAGAACAGGUCAAAAACCGGGCUAGGACAGAAGGCAGAGAUAUAAGGAAAGCUUUUGUCUCCGGGCAAUUAAUCAUGAAACUCAACACGUCAGCGAUGGGGCCCAAGCAUAGAAUCGUGUCAAUUUAGACCCGCGGCUUGGUCUGUAGCAAUACCGUGUUUCAUUAGGGCUCCUUUUCCACAAGACUCGUAAACUCUUUGAGACAACAGAUGUAAUCAUACAGGUGCAUUUUCCAAAGCGACGAGGGCAACAGUGCUUUGCGCACAGUAGGUGCUCAACAAAUGCUUGCUGUUGGACUAUUUGAAUUAAUUUAUGGAUAAAGCAACUGAACCCAGAGAAAGUCAGCUCCCUUCAAUAUUUAUCCACUCAUGCGAUAAAUACGCUGUUGGUGCCGAAUGCAGAGCAAACACUGUCUGGGCGCUGGGCUGGUCCCGCCUCCCAGAGCUCAGUCUAGGAGACACAGCCAACGAUCCGGGCGACACAGCACGAUGAGUGCCAUGGUGUAGGAGCAACGGAGGAGAAAGUACCUUAGAUGAGUGAAAACGCUGCAUUUUUCGAACGUCUGACUUCCAUACUGGUCUUCCCGUGGCCUGAGACCCGGAUCUUGCUGGCCUUUGCUAGUUCUGGCCUCCUCCACUCGUACAGGCUGCACACUGGAGGCCUUGCUUGGCACACAGUAGAUAUUCAAUAAAUACACACUUACUGACGAAAAGUGCAUUGAGGCCUGACGACAAGCAGGAUUUCAACAGCCAGAGAGCGGGAGGAGGGCAUUCCAGACAAAGGGAACAGCAUGAGCCAAGACAUGGAGACAUAAAGGACCAGUGAGCAGUUGGAAGUCACUGGAAACCAGGCGCAGAAAGAAAUUGGAACUAAGGUCAUAGCUCUUUAAAAAUUAAACGCUGUGGGGGCGCCUGCGUGGCUCAGUCGGCUGAGCAUCCAACUCUUGAUUUCGGCUCAGGUCGUGAUCCCGGGGUCGUGGGAUCAAGCCCCACGUUGGGCUAUGUACUGGCAAUGGAGCCUGCUUGGGAUUCUCUCUCUCUCUCUCUCUCUCUCUCUGUCUCUC
Acinonyx jubatus (cheetah) is the source of this 1693-nucleotide long non-coding RNA. RefSeq lists it as uncharacterized. The record is from RefSeq and is a predicted model, not a curated record. NCBI's taxonomy places the organism in Eukaryota, Metazoa, Chordata, Mammalia, Carnivora, Felidae. The transcript is spliced from 3 exons.